CCUACGGGUGGCAGCAGUGGGGAAUAUUGCACAAUGGGGGAAACCCUGAUGCAGCGACGCCGCGUGCGUGAAGACGUAACUCGUUAUGUUAAGCUCUAUUAGCAGGGAAGUAAAUGACGGUACCUGAGUAAGAAGCCCCGGCUAACUACGUGCCAGCAGCCGCGGUAAUACGUAGGGGGCAAGCGUUAUCCGGAUUUACUGGGUGUAAAGGGAGCGUAGACGGCAGUGCAAGUCUGGAGUGAAAGGCGGAGGCUCAACCCCCGGACUGCUCUGGAAACUGUACGGCUGGAGUGCAGGAGUGGUAAGUGGAAUUCGUAGUGUAGCGGUGAAAUGCGUAGAUAUUA
This 344-nucleotide ribosomal RNA is filed under the name uncultured bacterium. RNAcentral describes it as "partial 16S ribosomal RNA". It matches the Rfam family "Bacterial small subunit ribosomal RNA", at positions 338 to 699 of the family's 1533-position model. The record is from RNAcentral.